Molecule: ribosomal RNA, 253 nt
Filed under: uncultured bacterium
Lineage: Bacteria
Description: partial 16S ribosomal RNA
Rfam family: Bacterial small subunit ribosomal RNA
Source: RNAcentral
UACGAAGGGGGCUAGCGUUGUUCGGAAUCACUGGGCGUAAAGGGCGCGUAGGCGGCUUUAUAAGUCGGGGGUGAAAGCCUGUGGCUCAACCACAGAAUUGCCUUCGAUACUGUAGAGCUUGAGACCGGAAGAGGUAAGUGGAACUGCGAGUGUAGAGGUGAAAUUCGUAGAUAUUCGCAAGAACACCAGUGGCGAAGGCGGCUUACUGGUCCGGUUCUGACGCUGAGGCGCGAAAGCGUGGGGAUCAAACAGG